CUGCACAGCCAGUUGUCUGUGUGCUGCCCGCAGGUGCCCUGGGAAGGUGAAGUGUGGGCACUUGCUCCCCCAGGGCCCUGGUGGGAAAUCACUGGGUGAGGGUCCAGCGGUCUCUCCCAAGAAGCUACAGGAAAUUAAUAACAAGGACCAACUGCAAACCACAGCCCACCCCCACCCCAAAAGGAGAAGAUAAGGGGGCCAUGGUCUGAUGUGAUGAAGACAGAAGUGAAACUCUAAGGAUCAGUGAAGGACUUUCAUCAGUGGCAGUGGCCUUGGCUGAUGUUGGUGUUCUGUGGAGCUGGUUCUGCUCAACAGGAGAAUGGCAGGCGACAUUCUUUGUCCACAAGACCAAGGCCUGGCUGCGGUGAAGAGGAAACUUCCUGGCAGGCACAGAAACCUCCGCGUUCCCUCCGGGAGAAGGAGCCCUGCAGGCAACGACCUAUUUCAGCUGCGGGAUGGGAUGCCUUUGGAAAGAGCCUUAUUGUGACUUCUCCUGCAGUAAGAGAUUCGCUGGGGGAUCUGGGAACACGCUCUGUACAGAGCAAAGGACUGAAUUGUUCUUCCAUAAUUUCCACGUACAAAUGAGAGUUCAGAAAGCCAGGCGGCACUUCAGGGGCAUGUCCUCUGUGCUGUGGCCAUUCUGUGCUCAUGCCUCGUUUCCUCACGUAGACGGGAAGCCACAGACGGCAGGAAGCCAAAACAACCCGUACCUCCUGGUAGCUACCUUCCCCCACCCCACCCCAACCCCUGCCCUCCCAGCUCAGGCCACUUGCCUGACUCAUAGUCCAGGCCUCACUAAAAGAUGCAGAUAAAUGUUUGUUGUUAGGGACGAUGGUGAAGCUGGAACAUGACCCGUGGCCAUGUAGAAGGCUGAGCUUCUCCAGAGAAAUGGGAGCAGGAGCCUCCUGUCUGUCCCUCUGCACCCCCACACUCCCCCAGGGACCAGACACUGCUGACCGUGCAUCUGCCUACACCCCCAGUCCCCAAACCCUUGAGAAGACCCAGUGAAGCGUGCCUGCCUGGGCUUUGGCUGCAGGGUCUCCCUGCAUCCCCCUCACUGGGCCACGCUGUGCAUCCUGUGCUGCUGAAAUCUGAGGGUCCCCCAUGAGAGGCACAAAGCCCAUCUGGAUGUCCUCAGAGAUUUCAUCUAGUUCUCAUCGUUUGGGUCUACUAUCCCCCCCUAAGUUUCCUUCUGGGAGACAAGGCCCUUUUGGAAAGGCCUCUCAGAGCUGGCCCUGCUGAGCCGAGGGCAGGGGCUCUCUUGGGAGACUGGCUGCUCUGCCCCUCAGGGCUCCCUCUCCCCUUCUCUCCUUAGAGCCCAGGAGCCUGCCAGCCCCACCAGCCACACGUGGGAAGGAGGGAGGGAAGGGCUUAGGCCAUCACGAGAUGACUUCUGCCGCCUCCUAUCUGUACGAUGGACUCCUUGUGUUAGCAGAGGCCUCUCCCACCAUUUCCAGGGGUAGGAUCUCUUUCUGACAUUGUGGUAGUGUGAAUAACGGCCCCUCAAAGAUGGCGAUGUCCAGCUCUCUGGAUGCUGGGAAUAGGAAACCUCACAUGGUCAAAAGGACUUUACAGAUGUGAUUUAGUUGAGGAUCUUGAGAUGGGAAACUUGUCGUGGUUUACC
Non-coding RNA from Vicugna pacos (alpaca), 1624 nucleotides. Lineage: Eukaryota; Metazoa; Chordata; Mammalia; Artiodactyla; Camelidae. The record is from RefSeq and is a predicted model, not a curated record.